CUUUCCUCUGAGACAUAGUAGUUUGCAAAUUGUUUCCCCAAUUAGAAUGUGAGCACCCUGAAGGUUACAAGAUCUGAAUGGUGGAGAUAACCAGAACAAAAGCAUUCUAGGACACAGUGAAAGGCAGAAUAAACUUUAAUCUGGGAGAAUUAAAAAAAUGCUUCAUAGAAGAGUUACCUGAGUGGAGCCAUGGAGGGAGAGGAUUCUGACAGACCAUGUUCCACAUUUUACUUUAACAAGGACACAAACGCUUGGCAAGCCAGUGAAGAGUACGAUAUUGCUCUAUCAGUGAAAUUCAGAGAAUUUACAUCCAAAGGAUUGCAUUCAAAGGGAUUUGUCACUAAUACCAUUUUGUAUG
Phascolarctos cinereus (koala) is the source of this 358-nucleotide non-coding RNA. NCBI's taxonomy places the organism in Eukaryota, Metazoa, Chordata, Mammalia, Diprotodontia, Phascolarctidae. The record is from RefSeq and is a predicted model, not a curated record.